Molecule: ribosomal RNA, 253 nt
Filed under: uncultured bacterium
Lineage: Bacteria
Description: partial 16S ribosomal RNA
Rfam family: Bacterial small subunit ribosomal RNA
Source: RNAcentral
UACGUAGGGGGCUAGCGUUGUCCGGAAUCAUUGGGCGUAAAGCGCGUGUAGGCGGUCCGGUAAGUCCGCUGUGAAAGUCGGGGGCUCAACCCUCGAAUGCCGGUGGAUACUGUCGGGCUAGAGUGCGGAAGAGGCGAGUGGAAUUCCUGGUGUAGCGGUGAAAUGCGCAAAUAUCAGGAGGAACACCAAUUGCGAAGGCAGCUCGCUGGGACGUUACUGACGCUGAGACGCGAAAGCGUGGGGAGCAAACAGG